GACGAACGCUGGCGGCGUGCUUAACACAUGCAAGUCGUACGGUAAGGCCCUGUCUGUGGUACGCGCGUGACGGACGAGUGGGUAACACGCACGUAAGCUGCCCGCCACUUUGUGUUAACUCUCUGAAACUAGCUCUGAUACUUAACGUGUACUCCUGCCGCAUGGAGGGGGGUGGUAGGAUACGGCGGGUGUGGAUGGACGCGCGGGCUACUAGCUUGGUGGUGGGGGAGGGGGCUACCAAGGCGGGGACGGGUAGGCGGCCGGAGAGGGUGAGCGGCCACAAUGGGACUGAGAAACGGCCCAGACUCCCACGGGAGGCAGCAGGGGGGAAUAUUGGACAAUGGGCGCGAGCCCGAUGCAGCAACGCCGCGUGCGGGAUGACGGCCUUCGGGUUGUAAACCGGUUUCAGCAGGGACGAAGCUGUUUGUGACGGUACCUGCAGAAGAAGCACCGGCUAACUGCGUG
Molecule: ribosomal RNA, 465 nt
Filed under: uncultured bacterium
Lineage: Bacteria
Description: partial 16S ribosomal RNA
Rfam family: Bacterial small subunit ribosomal RNA
Source: RNAcentral